RNAcentral lists this transfer-messenger RNA (368 nucleotides) under Borreliaceae. RNAcentral describes it as "Borrelia sp014084025 Standard tmRNA". It matches the Rfam family "transfer-messenger RNA". Rfam says of the family: Bacterial tmRNA, also known as 10Sa RNA or SsrA, is named for its dual tRNA and mRNA-like properties. Its role is to liberate the mRNA from a stalled ribosome. To accomplish this part of the tmRNA is used as a reading frame that ends in a translation stop signal. Lineage: Bacteria; Pseudomonadati; Spirochaetota; Spirochaetia; Spirochaetales. The record is from RNAcentral. RNAcentral also lists the same sequence under 1 other name.
GGGGAUGUUUUGGAUUUGACUAAAAAAUUAGAUAGCAUAAGCUGCAAGCAGAGCGAAUCUCUUAAAACUUCUUUAAUAAAUGCAAAAAAUAAUAGCUUUACAAGUUCAAAUCUUGUAAUGGCUGCUUAAGUUAGUAUAGAGUUUUGUUGAAUUUUGCUUUGAAGUUUGACUUAUACUCUUUAAUGAAAAAAGGAAUCGAAGCUUGCUUAAAAAUGUUUCAAGUUCAUUUUUAGGGACUUUUAAACUUGAAAGUAAUUUGGUGGUUUGCUAGAGUUUUCAUCUCUUUACUUAAUAAAAUUCUGGCUAAGCUUGUAGAAGCUUGUAAUAUCAUUUUUAGGACGCGGGUUCAAAUCCCGCCAUCUCCAAAA